UUUGUUAAUCCAGCUCCUGAUACAGGGGAUAUUAGUUAAGACUAACUGCUUUGGUUGCCAGGUAAAGAAAUUCUACUUUGUCAGGAACAGGCAGGAGUCAAUAUACUGUGGUCCACGGCCAAAUUGAUCUUGCCACCUGUUUUUGUAAAUGAAGUUUAAUUGCAACACAGCCAUAUCCAUCAUUGGAGCUUAAUAGUUGCACCCAAACUGUAUGUUCCAUAAAAACCUAAAAUAUUUGCCAUCUAGCCCUUUACAGAAGAUGCUUACUGACCUUGGACUAAAACAGAACAGUAAAGUUCAUCAGUGUUCACGUGUUUUCAGGUGUUCAGACAGUGUCAUCCGGACUCUGCCUCUGCAUCUUUCAGUUCUGCUUCAACAUCGGCUCCUGCUUCAGUAGGCUGUGAAUGUGCUACACUGAGACAACAUUACCGUAUCCAUUUAGAAUCGAAAGGGAGUAAAGGUUGUCCAACAUUUUUAGCAAAGUUCAUGGAAGUCACUCUCUGUACUGAGUUCUGGAUUUCAUGGCGUCUGUGGAGUUAUAGGUGGAAUAAAGUCAUUCGGACUGAGGAUUUGGAGUCUCCAAAGGAAAAUCAUGACUUCUCCAUUUGGCGAGCUGUCAUUUUGACAGGGGUUAACACCAAAGAUCAUCUUUCCGGAGGGCCAUUUUACUGGCAAGCUUGAAGACAGCUGUGGUGGGAUUUGCUUCACAUUAAACCCAGUUUAGAGGAGAAUGCAGAGUCCCCCAGGUAUGCUGUUAAAGCAGGGCAUGCCAAAGUAAUAUCUUGCUUGGUUGCCACUUUGAACUGCUUUCUCUUUAUAUUGUUGAAGCAGAUUUUUUUCCCUCCGCCAUUAAAGGUAUUAAUUGUAAGUGCUUGAGAAGCACUUGUCACAAAGCACCUCUGCUCCUACUCCCAUUUAUUUAGUUGUAGCUUUCAAAACAUAGAGAAAUAACUGUUUUUUUGUUUUUAUAUAACAGCACUUUAAAAUGUUUCUUUUAUGCUGUUCCUAAACAAUGUCAUAAAGUCAUCUCCAUUAGAGAUCUUUCUGCUUAUUUCAAACAUCAAAAAUUACCCAUAUGUGUUGAAUAAUUUUCACACUAUAUGAAAGCUUCACGUUUCCGUACAAUUUUUCCCAAUCUAGAAUUUUGAAUCUACAUGGUUUAAGUAGCCCAGACCUUUGGUACCCAGAUAUGGAUGAAUUAAUCAUCAAUGACUAAUACAUAUUUUAUAUAGUUUGAAUUUUAUUAAUUUGUAUAAUGAAGGGAACUUCAGCCUGUUGUAUUCCAUGGGAAAUCAAUCAUCUUAUGUACAGUGUUUACUUCCCAGCUUUGCAACUAUAGUGGCUGGAAAUGAUAAAGUAGUUCCCAGAAUUUCAGUGUUAAUUACAGUGUAGUACAUCAUUG
This 1402-nucleotide long non-coding RNA is filed under the name Macaca mulatta (Rhesus monkey). RNAcentral's name for it is "lncRNA (ENSMMUG00000055094.1)". Lineage: Eukaryota; Metazoa; Chordata; Mammalia; Primates; Cercopithecidae. The record is from RNAcentral.